UCCCUUUGACAGUAAAAUUAGUGCACAGCAUUAUUGGACAUGAGGAACAGCAGCUGCCAACUAAGAGCUGGGUUCAAUGAUGAAGGUAAAUUACCAACUCUGCCUGGUCCCUGGUUGUUCUCAUGAAGCCUAUUUUACUUCCUGAUAUGCUGAUCAAAUAUGCUGGUAUUUGAAGUGAGACCAAGUAUGACAGUAGCCAUGUGACUACACAGUGAUGAACAGGAGCAGCAAGCCCUACAUCAGGCAGACCAAGCAAGGGAUCCCCUGAAGGUUGCAAUUCAGGUGACUACAUGGAUGCACCAAGUGUGCCACGUGGGCAAGAUCUCACACAACUGGACGACUGCUAGCGCUGAAGCCAACCGCCUCUACACUCAGGAACCACACCUGAGAAUGGAAGGCAGGGAAAGGAGAUGCAUCCUUCCAUGGAGUCAAAUACCUAGGAGGCAGGUAACUCUUUCAGACCAGAAACUAGAAUCAGGAGGGAGGUCCUGUGCGAGAAAAAGAGGCCUUUCUUCUAGGUGUAAUUGCAGAGAGGCCAAGGUGUCCAGGAGGAACCUGAUGGUGGGAAAUUGGCUGGGACGACAUAAGAAGACAAGCCAGAAGCAUUCUCUCUUUGGGGUCCCGUAUGUAAAGGGAAUGGACCAUGAGCCUUGAGGACAAAGGGGAAGCCAUGGUGGUAUUAGAGCUUAUUUCUAUUUCUAUUCCGUGUUUAGUUACCCGUUCAUCUCCACUGCCACCCUCUAAAGUCUUGCUAGGUCUAGCCUGUCUCCACAAUAAUGGAAUCUAAACUUACUGAGCAUAGAUCCAAACUACGUGCCGGACACUGUAUAAAGGCACCUGACAACGGGAGCGACCUCCCCCGUGGGUCGGACCUGGAUCAGCCACGGCGACGCACCAGCUUCUAAGUCUAGGACUCAGUUUUGGAGGCAUUAGUACUUCCUUCCACAGGCAAUGUGAGGUCCAAAUAGGAGACGAUAUAGAAUCUGGAAGUUGAGAAAAGCAAAUGAGGUCCACACAGGAAAAAACUGGUGGGAACAGGAGGGUUCAAGGCAAUGUAUUCAAAGAAAAUGCUGCUGAAAACAGCAGUUCCAGGGGACAAAGAAUAGAGAAUAUUCUGGAAAGGAGGGCAUUGUACAUCUAAGGAGAACACACAGUAUGCUAACAGCAUUGGGCGUCUGAAAUUAUACACUGGUUGCCUGAGUCUUUCAUGUUUUAUUUUUUUAAGGUUAUUUGUAUUGAUUUAUUUAGGUAAUCUCUACACCCAGUAUGGGCUUGAACUCAGGACCCAGAGAUCAAGAGUCACAUGCCCUUCCGACUGAGCCAGCCAGGCGCCCCUGAAUCUUUUAUUUUUUUUAUUUUUUAUUUUUUAAGAUUUUACUUAUUUAUUUGAGAGAGAGAGAGAGAAAAAAAAACAGCAUGAGAGGGGAUAGGGUCAGAGGGAGAAGCAGGCUCCCCGCUGAGCCGGGAGCCCGAUGUGGGACUCGAACCCAGGACUCCGGGAUCAUGACCUGAGCCGAAGGCAGUCGCUUAACCAACCAAGCCACCCAGGCGCCCCCUGAAUCUUUUAUUUUUAAUAUCCAAUCCACUGUACUUAAAUCUAGUUUGGAAGUAAGUAGCUUCUUCUAUUCUGUCAAGAACCACUACCUUAAACAAACCAUUCUACAUUUUCCAAACUGGUUUUGGGGGCACUAGAAAUAUUUGCUGGCUUCACAGCAUUUCAAAAGGAUUGUCUUAUGAUAGUUCUUGCAAGUGGAUCAUUUAUUGCCGCCGCUGCUUCGAAUUCAUCUGGAAUGCACUCCGGUGUCCUCAAAUGCACCAAGAACAGGAGAUGAGGACACGGACACACACACACACAGGGAAGACCAUGUGAAGAUACAAGGAGAACACAGCCAUCUACAAACCAAGGAGGGAGGGGCCCCCGAAAGAAACCAACCCUGCUGACCCCUUGAUCUUGGACUUCCAGCCUCCAGAACUGAGGAAAUAAAUUUUUGUAGUUUCCCACCACCCAGUC
Long non-coding RNA from Mirounga angustirostris (Northern elephant seal), 2011 nucleotides. RefSeq lists it as uncharacterized. NCBI's taxonomy places the organism in Eukaryota, Metazoa, Chordata, Mammalia, Carnivora, Phocidae. The record is from RefSeq and is a predicted model, not a curated record. The transcript has 3 exons.